UUAGUGGCGGACGGGUGAGUAACGCGUGGGCGAACCUGCCUUACACAGGGGGAGUAACACUUAGAAAUAGGUGCUAAAACCGCAUAAGCGCACAGCUUCGCAUGAAGCGGUGUGAAAAACUCCGGUGGUGUAAGAUGGACCCGCGUCUGAUUAGCUUGUUGGCGGGGUAACGGCCCACCAAGGCGACGAUCAGUAGCCGGCCUGAGAGGGCGGACGGCCACAUUGGGACUGAGACACGGCCCAGACUCCUACGGAAGGCAGCAG
This 264-nucleotide ribosomal RNA is filed under the name uncultured bacterium. RNAcentral describes it as "partial 16S ribosomal RNA". It matches the Rfam family "Bacterial small subunit ribosomal RNA", at positions 92 to 354 of the family's 1533-position model. The record is from RNAcentral.